AAGAAGAAUGCGGACCCCGGUUCCUUCCAAAACUACAGACCUAUUUGCCUAAUAAAAACCUUGUUUAAGUCUAUAGAGGGGUUGAUAAAGUUAAAACUGGACGAACAUAUUACAAGGCAUGAGCUUCUGCCGGUCAGAUCAUACGCCUUCAGGAGGAACAGGUCCACGGCGCUCUGCAUCAACGACCUGAUCAACGAGGUCCUGGCUCUGAAAGCGAGAGGGAAUCAGGUCGUGGCGGCCUGUCUUGACC
RNAcentral lists this long non-coding RNA (250 nucleotides) under Drosophila guanche. The record is from RNAcentral. Lineage: Eukaryota; Metazoa; Arthropoda; Insecta; Diptera; Drosophilidae.